CCUUGUACACACCGCCCGUCACACCAUGGGAGUGGGGUGAACCAGAAGUAGGUAGGCUAACCGCAAGGGGCCGCUUACCACGGUCUGCUUCAUGACUGGGGUG
Molecule: ribosomal RNA, 103 nt
Filed under: uncultured bacterium
Lineage: Bacteria
Description: partial 16S ribosomal RNA
Rfam family: Bacterial small subunit ribosomal RNA
Source: RNAcentral